AGACACAGAAAUUAUCGCGAGAGUACACUGUUUGCAAACAAGCGCAGUGAUUAGGGUAUCGCGAGACUUUCACAGUAUGAAGGUUACCAUCCUUGGUGGUUACCAUUUUGCUGCGAUCCUGCUCACUGAUCUAAAAUAAUGGGGAGCGUUGAAACCUUUGAGUGUCUUGAAGAUUUCAAUGCAUGUCUUCAGCAGUAUGAGGAAAACACGAACACAAAGUUUAUCGUUUUGAAGAGCGAUCGUGCAUUUGGGAAAAGUGAUCUGACAGUGGAAAAACAGCUGCAGUGGGAAGUGAAGAUUGUACCAUUCAGUGGUGUGCCUUUUAAGAUUAUUGGGAAAAAGACAUACGUAUGUCACCAAGGAAGAGACAAGCACGCCAAAGCCAAACAAAGACGUCAGGAGAGUAAAGAGCAAGGUCAUGAAUAUUCAUGCCUUAAAACAAGACGCUUGAUGCAACCAACUAAAAAAAUGGGUUGUCCUGCGACCAUAAAUGUGAUUCAUAUUGUGAGGUUUCCUGAGUAUAAGAUAACUGAAGAUAACGCGUACCAGAAACGAGAAAAGUCAUCAGCUGUUAGAGAAGCACUAAGACUAGAUCCAAAGCGUGUGUGCACAGAAGAAAUGUUUGCAGCCAGUUUCCCAGAUAUUAAGGAGCAUCAGAACCACCCCAUUGAUGGAAAGGAAUCAAGAGACAUUUGGAACAUCAUAAAAAAGGUCAAGGCAGGAAACUGGAAGUCCAGUGUAGACCAUCAUAAUCUACAGGCCUUGGUAAACACAUGGAAGGAAGAGGGCUGUGCCACUGAGUACAGACCCUCUCAGGAGGAGGAGGAUGGUACUGUGGUGAAGAUGUUGCUGUGCUUGCAGACGCCAUGGCAGAGGAGGCUUAUGUUACUGUAUGGACAGCAUGUGUGCUUACUGGAUGAAACCUAUCGAGCGGGCAGAAAUUCACUGCCGCUUUUCUUUCUGUGGGUGAGGACAAAUGUCACCUAUGCUGCUGUUGGAGUGUUUGUCACCCAGACAGAGACUAAAGAAGACAUUGCAGAAGCCUUGAAGGUGUUUCAGAAGUGGAAUUCAGACUGGAAUCCAUCACACUUCCUGGUGGACUUCUGUGAGGCGGAAAUCAGUGCUCUUGUGGAGGUGUUUAAAGGUUCUAAAGUGCUCCUCUGUGAUUUUCACAGAGAAAAGGCAUGGAUGGAGUGGACAAGGAAAAAGGAAAAUGGUGUGACAUGUCAGGAAAAGGUUCUUAUUCUUCUACGGGCUAUUGCAGAUUCUCAGACCAAUGAGGACUUUGAGAACAGCACUGUUACCCUUCAACAACAUCCAGACUGGCAGUCAAACGAGAAACUGAGAAGGUUUCUCAGUAAAUGGCUUUGUCAUGCAGAGAGAUGGGUAAAUGUGUUCAGAAAUAAAAACCUGAAUGUGGCCAUCUUCACAAAUAAAGGUGUUGAAAGACAAAAGGAUGUCCUGAAGCAUUCAUACCUUAAAGGUCACAGAAACUGCAGCCUGAGCGAAACGCUAAUAGUCAUUAUGAGAGACUUCCUGCCGAAUUCCUAUCAAAAAUACGUUGAAUUAAAUAUCAAAUGCUCAAGUGUCUCACGCAAAUACAGCGGAAAUGUGCCUUGUUUUCUAAGAGAUAGACCAAGAAUUAUGGCUCAGCACAUCAUGAAAAGGCACCAAGAGUCACUGCUCUUUAAUGCAAGAGACAUAACGUCUGCUGGGGAGAAUGUCUUCAGUGUUCACAGUCAGACUUCACAGGAAGAACAUCUGGUGAACUUUGGUAAAGGCGACGAGAUGCCUUCAUGUACUUGCAUGGACUGGCGGAGACAUCUUCUCCCAUGCCAGCAUUUCUGUGCUGUUUUUACCUUAGUUCCUGGAUGGAGUUGGGAGAAUUUGAGCACUGCGUACAGGAACAACCCUCUCUUCACAUUUGACGAGGUUUGCCUGGGACACUCUAGGACAGUUCCUCUGAAUUCUGCUGAUCUUCAAGUUGAAGAGCUUCUGAAGAAGAAUCAGGAGAACAAUAAUAGUCCAGAGGGAGACAGCUGCAUUUCCAGUCCAGAGAGAAGUCCAUCUCCUGCUGCUCCCUCAGAGACCAUCCUGAUCACCCCUAGUGUUAAAGCAGAAAAAAGGGAGAAAUGCGGUACCUUGUUAAAGGAGAUAUCUGAUUUGACAUGCCACAUACAGGAUGGGACAUUUCUAGAUUCAGUAACUGAUCGCCUUACAGAACUUUUAGAAGAUUUGAGGCGACACAUUCCCCAUGAUGACAUCCUUGACCUUUCCUACACACCACCAUCCAAGAAAAUGUGUUCAUCAGCCACUUAAUCAGCCACAAUCCCAAAAAGAUGCCUUGUAUCUGGCAUAGUUAGUGAUGCAGACAACCACCACAAGUGACUUUUAAGAAAAGUUCACCUGUGGUCAAUGCAGCUCUAUAAGAAGACCUCCACACACUUCUAAGGAACACUGAAGUUCAAAUUCUCAAAGCUUCUUCUUCAGGCUGGUUAGAGAUCAUCUGCGAAGAUGCUCCGAAACGU
RNA transcript from Megalobrama amblycephala (Wuchang bream), 2528 nucleotides. RefSeq lists it as uncharacterized. The record is from RefSeq and is a predicted model, not a curated record. The transcript is spliced from 11 exons. Lineage: Eukaryota; Metazoa; Chordata; Actinopteri; Cypriniformes; Xenocyprididae.